RNAcentral lists this long non-coding RNA (314 nucleotides) under Mytilus galloprovincialis (Mediterranean mussel). Lineage: Eukaryota; Metazoa; Mollusca; Bivalvia; Mytilida; Mytilidae. The record is from RNAcentral.
GAAAUGGGGAAUGUGUCAAAGAGACAACAACCCGUCCAUUGAAAAAAACAACAGUAGAAGGUCACCAACAGGUCUUCAAUGCAGCGAGAAACUCCCGCACCCAGAGGCGUCCCUCAGCUGGCCCCUAAACAAAUAUAUACAAGUUCAGUGAUAAUGAACGCCAUACUAAUUUCCAAAUUGUACACAAGAAACUAAAAUUAAAAUAAUACAAGACUAACAAAAGCCAGAGGCUCCUGGCUUGGGACAGGCGCAAAAAUGCGGCGGGGUUAAACAUGUUUGUGAGAUCUCAACCCUCCCCCUAUACCUCUAGACAA